AUGGGAUCAGAAAAAAGAAUGAUGGGACCUCUAAUAAUUAUUCUACUGCUGGCAGAUGGAAUGAUGUCAGCAGAAAAUACAACUGCUGCACUUAAUGCUACAGUGACCGCAACUGCGGUCAACAUGACCUCACCAGGCGUUAACAUGACCACAAUGUCCACCAUGUCACCAUCAGAUGUACCUAUACCUGUCAAUGUAACAGACGCCCCAACUGGGGCAACUAAUGCCACAGCAGCCCCUACAGCAUUCAACAUGACCUCACCAGCAGUCAACAUGACCUCACCAGCAGUCAACUUGACCUCACCAGCAGUCAACUUGACCUCACCAGGAGUCAACAUGACCACAAUGUCCACAAGGUCACCUUCAGGUAACAAAGUCUCCAACCCUCAAUAAUCGUUGUUUAAUUUUAUUAAAACAUAUAUAAACCCCCACUCAAACUUGUACAAUUUUGGUGAUGGAUAAUAUUGAAUGU
Gasterosteus aculeatus (three-spined stickleback) is the source of this 472-nucleotide long non-coding RNA. The record is from Ensembl. Lineage: Eukaryota; Metazoa; Chordata; Actinopteri; Perciformes; Gasterosteidae.